GUGAUGCGAUCGGCCCUGAGUUAUGACCUCACUGCAGGACCGGGCAGUCCGGGCUGCUCUGGAGGAGGAACAAAAGCAGCUCCUGCUUCAACCCAAGUGGGCUCUGUGCUUCGAGACAGUGGGAUUUGUCCUGGAGCAGAGAGGAAGAAUAACAUCCCCCAGGAAAAACCCUGUAACAUGAGGAAGUAUGUUUCUUGGGGCGUUUCUCACCUCAUCAGAUGAAGGUGUCUAUAACAGUAAUGCCUUUAUCAGUGUUCAUCAUUUGGAGUCUCUGCAUGCUCAGUGAAUAGCAACAGACACAUAUAUAAUAUGAUUCAUAUAAUGACAAAGAAGCUGUCUAAAA
This is a long non-coding RNA of Gallus gallus (chicken), 343 nucleotides long. RefSeq lists it as uncharacterized. The transcript has 2 exons. NCBI's taxonomy places the organism in Eukaryota, Metazoa, Chordata, Aves, Galliformes, Phasianidae. The record is from RefSeq and is a predicted model, not a curated record.